RNAcentral lists this ribosomal RNA (529 nucleotides) under uncultured bacterium. Its description in RNAcentral is "partial 16S ribosomal RNA". It matches the Rfam family "Bacterial small subunit ribosomal RNA", at positions 355 to 900 of the family's 1533-position model. The record is from RNAcentral.
UGGGGAAUAUUGCACAAUGGGCGAAAGCCUGAUGCAGCAACGCCGCGUGAGUGAUGAAGGUCUUCGGAUUGUAAAGCUCUGUCUUUUGGGACGAUAAUGACGGUACCAAAGGAGGAAGCCACGGCUAACUACGUGCCAGCAGCCGCGGUAAUACGUAGGUGGCGAGCGUUGUCCGGAUUUACUGGGCGUAAAGGGUGCGUAGGCGGAUGUUUAAGUGAGAUGUGAAAUACCCGGGCUUAACUUGGGUGCUGCAUUUCAAACUGGAUAUCUAGAGUGCAGGAGAGGAGAAUGGAAUUCCUAGUGUAGCGGUGAGUGCGUAGAGAUUAGGAAGAACACCAGUGGCGAAGGCGAUUCUCUGGACUGUAACUGACGCUGAGGCACGAAAGCGUGGGUAGCAAACAGGAUUAGAUACCCUGGUAGUCCACGCCGUAAACGAUGAGUACUAGGUGUAGGAGGUAUCGACCCCUUCUGUGCCGCAGUAAACACAUUAAGUACUCCGCCUGGGAAGUACGAUCGCAAGAUUAAAAAC